RNAcentral lists this ribosomal RNA (438 nucleotides) under uncultured bacterium. RNAcentral describes it as "partial 16S ribosomal RNA". It matches the Rfam family "Bacterial small subunit ribosomal RNA", at positions 339 to 795 of the family's 1533-position model. The record is from RNAcentral.
CUACGGGGUGCAGCAGUGAGGAAUAUUGCACAAUGGGGGGAACCCUGAUGCAGCAACGCCGCGUGGAGGAUGACGCAUUUCGGUGUGUAAACUCCUUUUAUAUGUCAAGAAAAUGACGGUAGCAUAUAAAUAAGCACCGGCUAACUCCGUGCCAGCAGCCGCGGUAAUACGGAGGGUGCAAGCGUUACUCGGAAUCACUGGGCGUAAAGGACGCGUAGGCGGGUUGGAAAGUCAGGUGUGAAAUCCUACAGCUUAACUGUAGAACUGCACUUGAAACUUCUAAUCUAGAGUAUGGGAGGGGGAGAUGGAAUUAGUGGUGUAGGGGUAAAUCCGUAGACAUCACUAGGAAUACCUAAAGCGAAGGCGAUCUCCUGGAACAUUACUGACGCUAAGGCGUGAAAGCGUGGGGAGCAAACAGGAUUAGAUACCCGGGUAGUC